RNAcentral lists this ribosomal RNA (301 nucleotides) under uncultured bacterium. RNAcentral's name for it is "partial 16S ribosomal RNA". It matches the Rfam family "Bacterial small subunit ribosomal RNA", at positions 122 to 400 of the family's 1533-position model. The record is from RNAcentral.
AAAAAAACCAUUGACUUUGGGAUAACUUCAGGAAACUGGGGCUAAUACCGGAUAGGAGCUCCUGCUGCAUGGUGGGGGUUGGAAAGUUUCGGCGGUUGGGGAUGGACUCGCGGCUUAUCAGCUUGUUGGUGGGGUAGUGGCUUACCAAGGCUUUGACGGGUAGCCGGCCUGAGAGGGUGACCGGACACAUUGGGACUGAGAUACGGACCAGACUCCUACGGGAGGCAGCAGUGGGGAAUAUUGCACCAUGGGCGGAAUUCUUAUGCAGCAACGCCGCGGGCCACAUAGAGCUCUACUAUCC